UUGAGUUUUAAUCGAGUCAAGUUUAUUUACCAUGUUCAAUGUUGAAACACUAGCUAAUUAGGUAUGGUAUAUAGGUGGGCUUUUGAUUUUUCUCAUUCUAUAUUUAUGUUAGGAACAAGGGAUGAAGCUGAGAUUGAGAGGCUACGGGGAUGUUUACAUGGCAAGAGUGCAACAACUAAGUUGUCAAAGUUGGAUAGAGGGGACAAGGUUGGUACAUGCUCUCCUCUAUGGGUACAGCCGUACAGGUACUUUCUCUGCUUCCACCUUAUGAAGGAAAGUCUGUACUGCGAAUUGGCGAGGGCAUUGUUCAUCUUACUGCUAAAUUGGCCAAGAAUUGAAGGUUGGCCAUGUUGUAGCUGUUGACGUCACUUGAGUGUGAAAAACGAGGUGAAAUACUGAAAUUGAUCAGUGGUUGGAACAAUAGUUCAAAGCAUGGUGAAAUGGUUGAAACCAGGAGGGUUUAUUUUCUUCAGAGAGGCUUGUGCCAAUGAGUAUGCAGAUCAGAACUAAAGCUACUAUGUCCACUGUCGUGAUCCUAAGUUCUACUCGAAGAAAAAACGAAAGAAUUUUUGUCAAGGCUUGACCUGAAACCUGGCCAGAAGGUUCUGGAUGUGGGUUGUGGCAUAGGUGGCAACAUGGCAGAGAACUUCGGCGUUGAGGUCGUUGGAAUUGAUCUCUCCAUCAAUAUGAUCUCCAUUGCUCACGAGCUGCUGUUGGACUCAAUUAUGCUGUUGAGUUUGAGGUGGCUGAUUGCACAAUGAUAACUUACCCGGAGAACACUUUUGAAGUGGUCUACAGCCGCGAUACCAUUCUUCAUAUUCAGGGGAUUUAACUUUGUGUGCAUGUUUACCAUCCUUUUGCUUACAAUUAUCCACUUGCUACUUUGUUGUAUUUGUCAGGAUAAACCUGCAUUAUUCAGAUAGUUAUACAAAUGGCUUAAACCCGGAGGAAAAGUUCUGAUCACCGAUUACUGCAUGAGUGCUGGUACACCAUCCCCUGAAUUUGCAGCAUAUAUUAAGCAAAGGGGAUAUGAUCUCCAUGAUGUGUAAGCAUAUGGACAGGCAAGUGUAUACAAAUUUCAUUCCUAUUGCAAUUCCAGAACUUGACAUUAGCAUACGAAUCAUGUUUGUGUGUGUAUAAUUAAUUGGCUCCCUUUAUUGUACUACAAAUGGGAUUAAAGGAGGCCCCCAUGUGGAGUAUGAAAUAUGAGUAGUUGCAGGUGAACUGUUUGCUGGUGAUCUAUGUCAGGUAUCUGAUGUUAAAGAUCUCAAAUAUAUUUGUAUUAAAAUACUUUAAAGCAGCUUCUUUGCUGCGAAUUAUCAUGUCGUGGAGUGUUAGUUGAUGUUUAUCCAUAACCCACUCCCUACCCAAAUCUUUUUUCUUUCGUGGUUUCCUGACCUAGAAGCUUUGUAUUCUGAUUGUCUGCUAAUUGAUGCAUUGUUGUCAAAUCCCAAAAAUAAAAAAAAUCGAUGCAAUGUUGUGAACUCUGCUAAAGGUGCUUUGUUAAGUAUAAAUGUAGUAAAUUGCCAAAAUGUUGUAGUGCGCUAGAACUGAAUGCACAAUGUAAUGUUUGAAAGUCUACAUAAGUGUUUGUCUUUUAUCAGAUAUUGUCAUUUGGAUGAAAUGUUGACAAUAACUACUGCAGCUAGACACUUUGAGUGAGCUUCAGAAGCUCUAUGACGAGCUUGUUAAAAAGUUGAAAAUGUCGGUUGGAUCGCUAUGCAACCUCAGAACAGUCUGUGAGGAAAGUGCCCUAAUUUCUGUUGCUACUAUUACUUCACAAUGUUAUUCAGUUACUCUGUUUAAUGGCCUUGUAAGUUGGAGAUCUUUUAGAAGUAGUUUUCUUCCCCCGUGAAAGGAUUAUACCUUUAUGGUGGGGUUGGCACAAGGAAAACCAUGUUGAUGGACUUGUUUUAUCAUCAAUUGUAAGACAAUUUUUAUUUGCUUAUUGCUCGAGGAAAUCUUGUUGGAUGUUGCUUGAUCUGUGUUAAUAUGGUAAUUGUUACAUUGUUUACUUCCUUACUUGGAUCACCUACUAAAAGUGAUGAUGUAUUAACUCUUGUCAGACUUUGCAAUUGGAGAGAAAUUAAAUGAGGAUACACCUUCAGGAUUUCUUAUUUUUUGUUUGCAUUUUAGUAAUGUUGAUAUCUAGGGUUAGGAUUUUUAUCUGAGUUUUGAUUUGUUUUCGCAGUACAAUAUGAGCAUGCUUGUUUUAUCAUCAUUUUUGAGAUGAUUUUAAUUCAAUCAAAAACCGAAAUUUCAUUUUCGGGAAAUCCGCGGCUCGGUUGUACACUUGCUUUACUCUUUUCCCUAUCUAUUGCUCUUUCGUUUAUGAUUACUGCAUCUCCCAUUCGAUCUCCUUCAUUUUCGACUUGAAUUGAAUUUUAACUGGAAUUUUGUUUCUUUUCUUUUGAAAAUUUGACAGCCGCACGCAAUUAUCGAACGCAUUAUGGAGAUUCUAAUUUUUACUUCUUUCCAAAGAAUUUGUGGAAACGGCUGAUGGAAGUGGUACUUUAAAACCCAAUCAAAUUGCAUAUUCAUUCGACAGAUGCCUGAAGACAGAAACCAUGGAAUCGGUAAACAAGGGGUAUGAAGCAGAAGCACAUGUAUGAUAUUUUUUUCGAAGUUUGUUCGUAACUGAUCUUUAGUCAAUGAUGGACAAUCGAUGCUUCUUUCAGCAUUACAAGGCAAUAUUACAAAUUUAGGACUUGAUUUUGUUUAUUUGUUAUUACCAAGGUAUUGUUUUAAUUUGACCUUAAUAGGUAAUGUCAACGAUUUUAACAGUUGUGAGGGCUUUAUCCUUAAAUCAGAUUUAGCGUGUAUGGUCUUUGAAGUUUGAAUAGAUAAUUUGAUAGAAGGUUUACUUUCUUCGUUUGUGCUCCUCAAUACAACAAUCCAUGUAAUGUAACAUAAUGUAGGAAUAGGAAUUGAAGACAGGAAUCGGCUCAGUAAUUCAGUAUCUGGGUUAUUUUUGUUUAAAGGAGCUUGGGAAACAAGUGGUGACUAGAUAUGGAAAGUUUGCAACGUAUUUUGUUAUAUUGCUCUCUACGGAUAUGAAUAUCUUUUUUUGGUAAUGUGGAGAAGAAUGUUAGAGGCUUAGAGCAUUUAAUCUUAGAUGGAAAAAAGCAGAUGAGAGGUGGGAAUCACAACAGACUAGAUGGCUUGUUGCUUACAACUUCAUAUGUUUUGUAUGACUCCAAAUAUGGAAAUAAUAUUUCAAUCUUAAGUUUUAGGAAAUAUUAUGUUUAUAUUGGGUUGAAAUAAUUGAACGCGGUUAUUUGUCUCAGCACCACCAUUAAAUAUUUCCCCUGUUGGCUGGUAUAUUAUGUGUUGGUAAUGCUUUUAUCUUAAUAUUGACGUGUUAUUUCUUAUAUAUUG
This is a long non-coding RNA of Spinacia oleracea (spinach), 3378 nucleotides long. RefSeq lists it as uncharacterized. The transcript is spliced from 4 exons. The record is from RefSeq and is a predicted model, not a curated record. Lineage: Eukaryota; Viridiplantae; Streptophyta; Magnoliopsida; Caryophyllales; Amaranthaceae.